ACUAUAGUUGCCUAUGUUAGAGAAUAUAUAUGCAUUAGUGCCACCUAUAUAUGUUGCCUCUACUUGUUGUUUUUGUGGUUCUUUUUCUUCACAAUGGUUGCCUGAUAUUAUUGCAAUGAGCUUAUGGGGCACCAACCCCUCUUUUAAUGCAUGACACUAGUUGCUUCAAAUUUUACAAGAGUUGUCUGAAAUUAUAGCAAAGUUGCUGCAUGUUUUUUAUUUUUGCAUAGGGGAUGCAUGCUAUUUUUUACUGCAAGGAACUCAUAUGGGGCAGUAGACCUUUUUUUACGCGCCUGAUAGUAGUUGGACUCAUUGGAUGGUUAAAAGUGUUAGAGAGGUCGAUUCCGAUAUUUUGGGGCGUUUUGGUGAUCCACGUUGGAGUUGUGGUAGGUGAUUUAGAGGUGAAGUUAGUCAAUUGAUAAUCAUGGUAACCAACUUAUAAGGAUAAUCAUGGUAAUCACACUAUAGUUGCCUAUGUUAGAGAAUAUAUAUGCAUUAGUGCCACCUAUAUAUGUUGCCUCUACUUGUUGUUUUUGUGGUUCUUUUUCUUCACAAGGGUUGCCUGAUAUUACUGCAAUGAGCUUAUGGGGCACCAACCCCUCUUUUAAUGCAUGACACUAGUUGCUUCAAAUUUUACAAGAGUUGUCUGAAAUUAUAGCAAAGUUGCUGCAUGUUUUUUACUUUUGCAUAGGGGAUGCAUGCUAUUUUUUACUGCAAGGAACUCAUAUGGGGCAGUAGACCUUUUUUACGUGCCUGAUAGUAGUUGGACUCAUUGGAUGGUUAAAAGUGUUAGAGAGGUCGAUUCCGAUAUUUUGGGGCGUUUUGGUGAUCCACGUUGGAGUUGUGGUAGGCGAUUUAGAGGUGAAGUUAGUCAAUUGAUAAUCAUGGUAACCAACUUAUAAGGAUAAUCAUGGUAAUCACACUAUAGUUGCCUAUGUUAGAGAAUAUAUAUGCAUUAGUGCCACCUAUAUAUGUUGCCUCUACUUGUUGUUUUUGUGGUUCUUUUUCUUCACAAUGGUUGCCUGAUAUUAUUGCAAUGAGCUUAUGGGGCACCAACCCCUCUUUUAAUGCAUGACACUAGUUGCUUCAAAUUUUACAAGAGUUGUCUGAAAUUAUAGCAAAGUUGCUGCAUGUUUUUUAUUUUUGCAUAGGGGAUGCAUGCUAUUUUUUACUGCAAGGAACUCAUAUGGGGCAGUAGACCUUUUUUUACGCGCCUGAUAGUAGUUGGACUCAUUGGAUGGUUAAAAGUGUUAGAGAGGUCGAUUCCGAUAUUUUGGGGCGUUUUGGUGAUCCACGUUGGAGUUGUGGUA
Molecule: long non-coding RNA, 1310 nt
Filed under: Triticum aestivum (bread wheat)
Lineage: Eukaryota; Viridiplantae; Streptophyta; Magnoliopsida; Poales; Poaceae
Description: long non-coding RNA (TAES_LNC015953)
Source: RNAcentral